This 274-nucleotide ribosomal RNA is filed under the name uncultured bacterium. RNAcentral's name for it is "partial 16S ribosomal RNA". It matches the Rfam family "Bacterial small subunit ribosomal RNA", at positions 523 to 796 of the family's 1533-position model. The record is from RNAcentral.
AUACGAACCGGACAAACGUUAUUCGGAAUUAUUGGGCUUAAAGGGUGCGUAGGCGGCGCGGUAAGUGAGGUGUGAAAGCCCACGGCUCAACCGUGGAAUUGCGCUUCAUACUGCCGUGCUAGAGGGAGUCAGAGGUAAGCGGAACUGAUGGUGGAGCGGUGAAAUGCGUUGAUAUUAUCAGGAACACCGGUGGCGAAAGCGGCUUACUGGGUCUCUUCUGACGCUGAGGCACGAAAGCUAGGGUAGCGAACGGGAUUAGAAACCCCAGUAGUCC